UUCAAUAUUUUAUCUUUAUAAUAUUUUGUCCUUUCGGUUCAAAUUCCCCGUCAACCCAACUUCUCUCUCUCUCAUCCUUUCAGUUCCAUCCACUCACCAUCCAAACCGCCACCAGAAGUUUCUUUUUAUUUCCGACCACCCAAGUUCUUACCUCAAGCCCUUAGAUUCAGCUAUCCAGUCAUGUAACUCUCGUUUUCGUUUGCUUACUCUUCUUAUAUUUUUUUCUUUUAAUCCAUUGGCAUACAAGAUUUACUUUUAAUCUCCAGAUCCAGACCACCACAGCAAGAAAUCAGGCCCCCUGCUCUUUAUUUUUCAGAAACCCGGUUUUGGCCGCUUUUGAGGUUUUCCGGUUGAACCGGUAAUUCAACGGGUUUUUAGCUAUUCAACCGGGUUUUUGGGUUGAACCAGACCGGAACCACCCACCGGUUCGCGAUUAAACCGGUUGGACCGGCCGGUCCGGUCCGAGUUUCAAAACAUUGUUAUUAUGUAUAUAUUUACAAGGAGAAGCUGCGGCAGUUGGCGCAGUUGCAACGGGUUUUCAAAAUUUUUAAAGAAUUUUUUAAGGGAUUAUUUCACAAACAGCCCUCAUAUGCAUGGUCCAAUUAAGAGAGAUCCAAUUUUUUUUUUCCCUUUUUAAGAUAAAUUCAAAAUAUUAUUUAAUUACUCAUAAAUAAUUUAAUUCACUAUUAUACCCUUUACCUAACCCUUAAAGUCACGUGUUAUUAUUUUCUUUUUUCCCUCAUAUUUCUUCUCUAUCUCUCUUUUCUUUAACGGUAGCCGCCUCUCUUCCUCCACGUUGCGAUCUCUUCUCCAAAUCUCGGCCAUCUGUAAAUUUUCUUACUUCUCAGAAGAGUCUUCAGACGAGGUAAUAUUCCAUCCCUGAAUCACAUCAGAACCAAAUUUCCUCUUUAGUAUUAGAAGUUGAAUCUUCUCUCAUUUAUCAUUACCCGUGUUCUUCAGUUGAUUUUCGUUUCGGCAUAAGGUGGAAAUUCCAUUGUUAAAUUAAAGUAUUAAACCCAUCAAUGGUGACCUUUUUUAUUUUUUUGUUAAUUAAUUGCACAUGGUGAUUGUUGAGUUCGUUGUCUGUGCGUUUUUUUUUUAUUUUUUUCUACAUUGAAGGAAAGUGAAUCUUUGUUGUUGAAAAUGUGAUUUUGCCAGUAAUCGCAGGAAUUCACAUCUAUCUUAUGUUUGGUCUGGUAAUUUUGAUUUGCUUGAAUUUAAAUACUCUUUUAAUUGAAAUUUUUUUGGACUUAUGUUACGACACGCUUUUGCUAGCUUCUCGAGUUUAAUUAUCCGGUGAUUGAUUGUCAUUAUUGUUGUUAUUGUUUUGAAUUCUCAUUCAGGAAAAUUGAUAUUGUUAUAAGCCAGAAAAUAGAGAUCGAUAAAGCGAUAAGAGAAAGUGAUGAUAUAAGGUUGAAUUUUUGUUCUUUUAAAUUUGGUAAUAUUUUUGUUCUUGAUGAUUUUUUUGACGAAAUUGCUGAUGGGAGGAAGAAGAUGAUGAUUUUUUCAAAUAGUGGUUUACGUUUCAAAUAACGAGAAGAAGAUGAUUACACGGGACUAUGCUCUAGGGUUCAUUCGAGAGAAGAUGGUAUCCUUUAUAGUGGUUUUAUAGCUUCUUUUUCGCAGAAUUUUUUUUUCUUGUUAGAAUUCAUAGUGAUUUUCGAUGUUUAUAUAGUUGUGUAUAUAAAGUGGUUUUCAUGUUUAUAUAAUUGUUUUAUAUCGAGUGGUUUUCAUGUUUAUAUAUAGUUGUUCAUACAGAGUAGUUUUCAUAAUGUCAGGCUUUGUCUUUGAUAAAUUUAUAGUGGUUUUCAACAAUUUUAUAGUGAU
Molecule: long non-coding RNA, 1827 nt
Filed under: Erythranthe guttata (spotted monkey flower)
Lineage: Eukaryota; Viridiplantae; Streptophyta; Magnoliopsida; Lamiales; Phrymaceae
Description: long non-coding RNA (EGUT_LNC002370)
Source: RNAcentral